RNAcentral lists this ribosomal RNA (255 nucleotides) under uncultured bacterium. RNAcentral's name for it is "partial 16S ribosomal RNA". It matches the Rfam family "Bacterial small subunit ribosomal RNA", at positions 524 to 776 of the family's 1533-position model. The record is from RNAcentral.
UACGUAGGGGGCAAGCGUUGUCCGGAAUCAUUGGGCGUAAAGAGCGUGUAGGCGGACUUAAAAGGUCUGGUGUGAAAGCCCGGGGCUCAACCCCCGGAGGGUCACUGGAAACCAUAAGUCUUGAAUCUGGAAGAGGAGAGUGGAAUUCCUGGUGUAGCGGUGGAAUGCGCAGAUAUCAGGAGGAACACCAAUGGCGAAGGCAGCUCUCUGGUACAUGAUUGACGCUGAGACGCGAAAGCGUGGGGAGCGAACAGG